GUAGGUGGCAAGCGUUGUCCGGAAUUAUUGGGCGUAAAGCGCGCGCAGGCGGUUCUUUAAGUCUGAUGUGAAAGCCCACGGCUCAACCGUGGAGGGUCAUUGGAAACUGGAGAACUGAGUACAGAAGAGGAAAGCGGAGUUCCACGUGUAGCGGUGAAAUGCGUAGAGAUGUGGAGGAACACCAGUGGCGAAGGCGGCUUUCUGGUCUGUAACUGACGCUGAGGCGCGAAAGCGUGGGGAGCAAACAGGAUUAGAUACCCUGGUAGUCCACGCCGUAAACGAUGAGUGCUAAGUGUUAGGGGGGUUUCCGCCCCCCUUAGUGCUGCAGCUAGCGCAUUAAGCACUCCGCCUGGGAGUACGGCCGCAAGGCUG
This 372-nucleotide ribosomal RNA is filed under the name uncultured organism. RNAcentral describes it as "partial 16S ribosomal RNA". It matches the Rfam family "Bacterial small subunit ribosomal RNA", at positions 527 to 896 of the family's 1533-position model. The record is from RNAcentral.